This 440-nucleotide ribosomal RNA is filed under the name uncultured bacterium. Its description in RNAcentral is "partial 16S ribosomal RNA". It matches the Rfam family "Bacterial small subunit ribosomal RNA", at positions 338 to 795 of the family's 1533-position model. The record is from RNAcentral.
CCUACGGGUGGCUGCAGUGGGGGAUAUUGGACAAUGGGGGAAACCCUGAUCCAGCGAUGCCGCGUGAGGGAAGAAGGUUUUCGGAUUGUAAACCUCUGUGGAGGGGGACGAUAAUGACGGUACCCCUUUAGGAAGCCACGUCUAACUACGUGCCAGCAGCCGCGGUAAUAUGUAGGUGGCGAGCGUUGUCCGGAAUUACUGGGUGUAAAGGGGGUGUAGGGGGGUAAGCAAGUCAGAAGUGAAAACUAUGGGCUUAACCCCGAGCCUGCUGUUGAAACUGGUUUGCUUGAGUGAAGGAGAGGCAAGCGGAAUGCCUGGUGUAGCGGUGAAAUGCGUAGAUAUUAGGAGGAACACCAGUGGCGAAGGCGGCUUGCUGGGCUUUUACUGACGCUGAGGCUCGAAAGCGUGGGGAGCAAACAGGAUUAGAUACCCGGGUAGUC